ACAAACGACUCUCGGCAACGGAUAUCUCGGCUCACGCAUCGAUGAAGAACGUAGCAAAAUGCGAUACUUGGUGUGAAUUGCAGAAUCCCGUGAACCAUCGAGUUUUUGAACGCAAGUUGCGCCCAAAGCCAUCCGGUUGAGGGCACGCCUGCCUGGGCGUCACGC
Molecule: ribosomal RNA, 165 nt
Filed under: Crepis mollis
Lineage: Eukaryota; Viridiplantae; Streptophyta; Magnoliopsida; Asterales; Asteraceae
Description: 5.8S ribosomal RNA
Rfam family: 5.8S ribosomal RNA
About the family: 5.8S ribosomal RNA (5.8S rRNA) is a component of the large subunit of the eukaryotic ribosome. It is transcribed by RNA polymerase I as part of the 45S precursor that also contains 18S and 28S rRNA.
Source: RNAcentral